Vespa mandarinia (Asian giant hornet) is the source of this 2357-nucleotide long non-coding RNA. Lineage: Eukaryota; Metazoa; Arthropoda; Insecta; Hymenoptera; Vespidae. The record is from RefSeq and is a predicted model, not a curated record.
UGUACGAUAAAACAAACAAACAAUGGGCCGGAGGAAAUAAAGAAAGAACAUAAAACAAAGUGUUCAAUAGGAAACCAAAUGGGGAUAGAAUCGAUCGUAUCUGAGUAUACACCACACACACGUAUUCUUGGUGUGAUUAAUCUAGAAAAGACGGAGAAACGCUGAGGAGGAUGUAGACGAUAGACGGAAGCGGAAAGACCGAUAGAAUGGCGUACCGAAUGGUAUAAAAGGCUAUAUAACGGGCGUUGGCUGAUUCGUAACUACAGACUUGCAAUAAAUUCGCGCACGUUUCACGGAAAUUCACGACACCAGACCGGACGAGACUGACGACGAGUAAAAUAAGAAGGAAAGGAAGGAGAAGGGUCAUGGAAUGCGAAAGAGGCAUAUAGCAUACCACACUAUUGGUGAGAUCGUCCUCGAAAUAUACACGACUUUCGAUCGAUUCGCGACGCGACUCACAUUCGAAACGAGAAAUCCUAAAGAUUUCGAGACCCUUGAAUCUACUCUCUUUCUUUUUCUUUCUCUCUUUCUCUCUCUCUCUCUCUCUCUCUAUCUCUCUCUCUCUCUCUCUCUCUCUCUCUCUCUCUCUUUCUCUCUAUCUCUCUCUAUCUCUCGUCUUUUGCGAGCUUCCUUUUUCGGAAAUCGAGUGCUAAUAAACUCCCAGCAUCCCCGAACGGAUGCUGUAACGAACGUGAAAGUCGAUCUUUAAGAAAGAGAGAGAGAGAGAGAGAAAGAAAAAGAAAGAGAGAAAAAGAGACAGUCAUUACGGUCUUCCUUUUGUUAUAAUACGUCGUGUGAAAUUGUUUCUCGUGCCUCCGAUACGAGAGAUCGUAAUUUCUCGUGAGAAAGAAAAAGAAGGUAAUCGAGGUAAAUGAGUGUAAAAAUUUGUUGAAUAUUACGAAAUGAGAAAUGAAGAAAAGAAUUAGUUCGAUAUUAAGUGAUUCAAUUAAAAUUCGUAAUUGGUCUACUAAAAAAAAAAAAGAAAUUGAUUACAAGAGAGAACGAUGAAGAGGGAUUUAUUAAGGGACGUGGAACACCCGGUAUAUUAGUACGUACAUACGUAUAUAAAAGCAGAAUGUACUUGUUCGCGUUGUUCGAACGUGUUAAGAAUAAUUUUCUGUUGUAGUUUUAUACUACGGAAGAACCAUUAGCAAACGCAUUGUAUAUGUUUCUAUGAGAGAUAUUUCUUUUUUUUCUUUUUCUUUGUAUGUAUAUUUUCUUUACCUUUUAUGUUCCUAUCUCAUUUUUAAUAAAUUUUUCAUGAACGAGAAGUAAAAUCUUAUAUUGCUACUCAAUUUCUGUAAAACUUGUUAACGAAUGUUGUAUUAUUUCUAUGAAAAUUUGUACAGACGAUUGGCGUAAUUCAUUUCAUUUCGUUUCAUUUCUUUUUCUUUCUCUCUCUCUCUCUCUCUCUCUCUCUCUCUCUCUCUCUCUCUCACUUUCUAUUUGAGAUCUUAUGCAUUAAAGAAAAAGAGUAAGACCUCCCGGUACUUCGCGUUCCAUUUCCUACCUAUCUCUUGUUUACGUACUCCAUCAGCAGAAUCUCCAUUUUUUACGUUACCCUUUUAUCCCCUCCUAAGAAAGAAAGAAAAGAUAAAGAAAGAGAAAAAAGGGGAUAUGAAGGAAAGAAUAAAUGGAUCGUCAAAUAAUCCGAUGCUCGAGUUUCAUUUUGGCGUACAAAUUUUAAAAGAAGAAUGGACAUAACGGAGAAGUAAUUCGACGAUGAUCGGGUACACGAAGUGGAUAGGAAAGGGCACGAGAAGAAGUCGAUAUCAUGGUACGAAUAAAUUCGAUGCACUUGCAAAAGAAAGAAUGGAAAAGAAAGCAUAACAAUGACGACAAGGACGAGGACGAAGAUAAGGAAUGUUCUUAAAGGACCACCAAAGAGAAAUAAAUUCAUAGUGUGCGACGCUUUUAAAGUUUAUCUAGGUAUCACGUAGAAACUCUGGAACAGUUCGUACCUAUUUCACGCUUGGAUGCUGUGAGGAGUUCGUCCGUCGUUCUUUCCCAAGCUACACGACACGUUCUGAGGGUCUAAACUCGUUCGAAGAAAAGCAUUUCAUCCGUUUGAAUUGGUUGCCUACGUAGUCGCGAAAUUGCACGGUAUUUUCAUAGCGUAUCUUAAAAAAAAAAUAAAGAAAAGAAAAAGAAAAAGAAAAAAGUGACACCUCAAUUAUUUCACGUUUUAUGCAAUUCCUUCUCUUUUUCCAUUUCCUGUCGAUAUCAACAUUGACGAUGUAAUAUGGGCGUAUUUGAAAGUUAAUAAAAUGAGCUUUUAAUUGAGAAACUAGGGGAAGGAUAUUUUAAAUUGACUUAUUCGAUAUCCAUAUUAAAUCUCCAUUUAAUAAUGAAAAAAU